This 73-nucleotide transfer RNA is filed under the name Bos taurus (domestic cattle). It matches the Rfam family "tRNA". From Rfam's summary of the family: Transfer RNA (tRNA) molecules are approximately 80 nucleotides in length. Their secondary structure includes four short double-helical elements and three loops (D, anti-codon, and T loops). Further hydrogen bonds mediate the characteristic L-shaped molecular structure. tRNAs have two regions of fundamental functional importance: the anti-codon, which is responsible for specific mRNA codon recognition, and the 3' end, to which the tRNAs corresponding amino acid is attached (by aminoacyl-tRNA synthetases). tRNAs cope with the degeneracy of the genetic code in two manners: having more than one tRNA (with a specific anti-codon) for a particular amino acid; and 'wobble' base-pairing, i.e. permitting non-standard base-pairing at the 3rd anti-codon position. Lineage: Eukaryota; Metazoa; Chordata; Mammalia; Artiodactyla; Bovidae. RNAcentral also lists the same sequence under 2 other names. The record is from Rfam by way of RNAcentral.
GCCCUGGAAGUCCAGCAGUUAGGACUCUGCACUUCCACUGCAGCUGGCAUGGGUUCAAUUCCUGGUCGGGGAG